UUAUGACACUAAAUUUCCAUCUAUGCACCUCGUAAAAGAGGAAAUUAAAACUUUAUUGGGAAACUUUCUUCAGUUGGCAAGUUUCUGUGGUUAAAGCCAAUGAAAGGAUCCAAAUCUACGGACACCUCAGUUCACGUCGGACCAUUCACAGCAGCAGAAGGGCAGGAUCGGCUGUAGAAAAGGAGACUGAAGAGUUUUCUGCCCCUGCCCAGGGGAGCAAGGUUCCAUGUAGAAGAACCAAUGUGUGCCCAAGAGGCACAGCUGCUAGACCACAGUUCAGAGCCAGAGAAAUUACUUCCACCUCUACCCUACCCUGGCAGCCACUCGAAUUAGGAAUACUGACAUGUUUACAGACAUUAUGGAUGUGACCGAUUUGGGGAUCUUAUGGGCGGUCCAUAAAUUUACAGAAAGUUGACAACACCAUUGUCCCGGAAUACUAUGGGACUUGAUACCUAUAUUUCCUUCCCCAAACUCAACUGGCCUCUUACCAAGAGGAAAGGGAAAGGCCUAGUGGAGAUAAGAUUAAUGACUUUGGAAACCCAUGCCACUAGCGCCACCUCGGAGCCCA
This 568-nucleotide long non-coding RNA is filed under the name Ornithorhynchus anatinus (platypus). RNAcentral's name for it is "lncRNA (ENSOANG00000047448.1)". Lineage: Eukaryota; Metazoa; Chordata; Mammalia; Monotremata; Ornithorhynchidae. The record is from RNAcentral.